UCGUGUUGAUUGCUGAGUUUAGCCUCACGG
RNAcentral lists this non-coding RNA (30 nucleotides) under Rattus norvegicus (Norway rat). The record is from RNAcentral. Lineage: Eukaryota; Metazoa; Chordata; Mammalia; Rodentia; Muridae.